UAAGGAGGGUGCAAGCGUUGUUCGGAAUCAUUGGGCGUAAAGCGCGUGUAGGCGGCCUACUAAGUCUGAUGUGAAAGCCCGGGGCUCAACCCCGGAAGUGCAUUGGAUACUGGUUGGCUAGAGGGCGAGAGAGGGAAGUGGAAUUCCUGGUGUAGGGGUGAAAUCCGUAGAUAUCAGGAGGAACAUAAGUGGCGAAGGCGGCUUCCUGGCUCGCUUCUGACGCUGAGACGCGAAAGCAUGGGUAGCAAACAGG
RNAcentral lists this ribosomal RNA (253 nucleotides) under uncultured bacterium. RNAcentral's name for it is "partial 16S ribosomal RNA". It matches the Rfam family "Bacterial small subunit ribosomal RNA", at positions 524 to 776 of the family's 1533-position model. The record is from RNAcentral.